AUUGAACGCUGGCGGCAGGCCUAACACAUGCAAGUCGAACGAGUGGCGGACGGGUGAGUAAUGUCUGGGAAACUGCCCGAUGGAGGGGGAUAACUACUGGAAACGGUAGCUAAUACCGCAUACCAUCGGAUGUGCCCAGAUGGGAUUAGCUAGUAGGUGGGGUAAUGGCUCAUCUAGGCGACGAUCCGUAACUGGUCUGAGAGGAUGAUCAGUCACACUGGAACUGAGACACGGUCCAGACGCCUACGUGAGGCAGCAGUGGGGAAUAUUGGACAAUGGGCGAAAGCCUGAUCCAGCCAUGCCGCGUGUGUGAAGAAGGUCUUCGGAUUGUAAAGCACUUUAAGGUGGGGGGCGUUACCAACAGUAAAAGCACCGGCUGACUUCGUGCCAGCAGCCGCGGUAAUUC
Molecule: ribosomal RNA, 406 nt
Filed under: uncultured bacterium
Lineage: Bacteria
Description: partial 16S ribosomal RNA
Rfam family: Bacterial small subunit ribosomal RNA
Source: RNAcentral